UUAAAUUGAAGAGUUUGAUCAUGGCUCAGAUUGAACGCUGGCGGCAGGCCUAACACAUGCAAGUCGAACGGUAGCACGAAGCAGCUUGCUGCUUUGCUGACGAGUGGCGGACGGGUGAGUAAUGUCUGGGAAACUGCCUGAUGGAGGGGGAUAACUACUGGAAACGGUAGCUAAUACCGCAUAACGUCGCAAGACCAAAGUGGGGGACCUUCGGGCCUCACACCAUCGGAUGUGCCCAGAUGGGAUUAGCUAGUAGGUGGGGUAACGGCUCACCUAGGCGACGAUCCCUAGCUGGUCUGAGAGGAUGACCAGCCACACUGGAACUGAGACACGGUCCAGACUCCUACGGGAGGCAGCAGUGGGGAAUAUUGCACAAUGGGCGCAAGCCUGAUGCAGCCAUGCCGCGUGUAUGAAGAAGGCCUUCGGGUUGUAAAGUACUUUCAGCGAGGAGGAAGGCGUUGUGGUUAAUAACCACAGCGAUUGACGUUACUCGCAGAAGAAGCACCGGCUAACUCCGUGCCAGCAGCCGCGGUAAUACGGAGGGUGCAAGCGUUAAUCGGAAUUACUGGGCGUAAAGCGCACGCAGGCGGUUUGUUAAGUCAGAUGUGAAAUCCCCGGGCUCAACCUGGGAACUGCAUUUGAAACUGGCAAGCUUGAGUCUCGUAGAGGGGGGUAGAAUUC
Molecule: ribosomal RNA, 681 nt
Filed under: Salmonella enterica subsp. enterica serovar Kentucky
Lineage: Bacteria; Pseudomonadati; Pseudomonadota; Gammaproteobacteria; Enterobacterales; Enterobacteriaceae
Description: bacterial SSU rRNA
Rfam family: Bacterial small subunit ribosomal RNA
Source: RNAcentral